CUGCCAGACUCCUACGGGAGGCAGCAGUGGGGAAUAUUGCACAAUGGGGGGAACCCUGAUGCAGCGACGCCGCGUGAGUGAAGAAGUAUUUCGGUCUGUAAAGCUCUAUCAGCAGGGAAGAAAAUGACGGUACCUGACUAAGAAGCCCCGGCUAACUACGUGCCAGCAGCCGCGGUAAUACGUAGGGGGCAAGCGUCAUCCGGAUUUACUGGGUGUAAAGGGAGCGUAGACGGCAGAGCAAGUCUGAAGUGAAAGCCCGCGGCCCAACUGCGGGACUGCUUUGGAAACUGUCCGGCUGGAGUGCAGGAGAGGUAAGUGGAAUUCCUAGUGUAGCGGUGAAAUGCGUAGAUAUUAGGAGGAACACCAGUGGCGAAGGCGGCUUACUGGACUGUAACUGACGUUGAGGCUCGAAAGCGUGGGGAGCAAACAGGAUUAGAUACCCCCGUA
RNAcentral lists this ribosomal RNA (447 nucleotides) under uncultured bacterium. RNAcentral describes it as "bacterial SSU rRNA". It matches the Rfam family "Bacterial small subunit ribosomal RNA", at positions 328 to 792 of the family's 1533-position model. The record is from RNAcentral.